Molecule: long non-coding RNA, 490 nt
Filed under: Pongo abelii (Sumatran orangutan)
Lineage: Eukaryota; Metazoa; Chordata; Mammalia; Primates; Hominidae
Description: lncRNA (ENSPPYG00000032073.1)
Source: RNAcentral
AGGACCCAGCAGAGCUUCCACUGCCAAACUAAAGGAGGCUUCAGAGUUCUCAUGGACAGAGCUUCUUCAAGCUUCUUGGCCAUGUGCUGAGAGCCUGGACCUGCUCGGUUUUAUGAUCUACUGUUCUCCCAAACAGCCAGCUCUUAAUUCCUUCUGCACCAAUCUGCUUAGAGAUGCAAACCAAAUUUCAUCACACCUCACACUCUCAGUGAUCAGCAUUUCCUAUAAAUACCACUUACAUCUUAUGGAGUGAAGCUGUGACGGGGAACGUGUUAGGAGAAGAGGUGAAGAAAGAGCCAUGAGGGAAACUUGGAACCUGAGCCCUUGGCAUGAGAAAUUGGAGAAAUUGAGCUCCCCUCCUUUUAUUCUUUUUGGAACUUAUGGCAAACAAUUGCCUUUUGAAUGGCUGUGAUCUUAUUAAUAUACAUUUUUGCUUUGCUUUUGAGUAUUUAAUGUGCUCUCCAGAGACUGGUUCAAAGCCUUUAAAAUA